This 468-nucleotide ribosomal RNA is filed under the name uncultured bacterium. RNAcentral's name for it is "partial 16S ribosomal RNA". It matches the Rfam family "Bacterial small subunit ribosomal RNA", at positions 28 to 507 of the family's 1533-position model. The record is from RNAcentral.
GAUGAACGCUGGCGGCGUGCUUAACACAUGCAAGUCGAACGGAAAGGCCAGUGCUUGCACUGGUACUCGAGUGGCGAACGGGUGAGUAACACGUGGGUGAUCUGCCCUGUACUUCGGGAUAAGCUUGGGAAACUGGGUCUAAUACCGGAUAGGACAACUUUUUGGAUAUUGUUGUGGAAAGCUUUUGCGGUAUGGGAUGAGCUCGCGGCCUAUCAGCUUGUUGGUGGGGUAAUGGCCUACCAAGGCGUCGACGGGUAGCCGGCCUGAGAGGGUGUACGGCCACAUUGGGACUGGGCUACGGCCCAGACUCCUACGGGGGGCAGCAGUGGGGAAUAUUGCACAAUGGGCGCAAGCCUGAUGCAGCGACGCCGCGUGGGGGAUGAAGGCCUUCGGGUUGUAAACUCCUUUCGCUAGGGACGAAGCUUUUUUGUGACGGUACCUGGAGAAGAAGCACCGGCUAACUACGUG